CACAACGACUCUCGGCAACGGAUAUCUCGGCUCUCGCAUCGAUGAAGAACGUAGCGAAAUGCGAUACUUGGUGUGAUUGCAGAAUCCCGUGAACCAUCGAGUCUUUGAACGCAAGUUGCGCCCGAAGCCGUUAGGCCGAGGGCACGCCUGCCUGGGCGUCACGC
RNAcentral lists this ribosomal RNA (164 nucleotides) under Zaleya galericulata. RNAcentral describes it as "5.8S ribosomal RNA". It matches the Rfam family "5.8S ribosomal RNA". From Rfam's summary of the family: 5.8S ribosomal RNA (5.8S rRNA) is a component of the large subunit of the eukaryotic ribosome. It is transcribed by RNA polymerase I as part of the 45S precursor that also contains 18S and 28S rRNA. Functionally, it is thought that 5.8S rRNA may be involved in ribosome translocation. Lineage: Eukaryota; Viridiplantae; Streptophyta; Magnoliopsida; Caryophyllales; Aizoaceae. The record is from RNAcentral.